Molecule: ribosomal RNA, 501 nt
Filed under: uncultured bacterium
Lineage: Bacteria
Description: partial 16S ribosomal RNA
Rfam family: Bacterial small subunit ribosomal RNA
Source: RNAcentral
AUUGAACGCUGGCGGCAGGCUUAACACAUGCGAGUCGAGCGGGGGAAGGUAGCUUGCUACUGGACCUAGCGGCGGACGGGUGAGUAAUGCUUAGGAAUCUGCCUAUCAGUGGGGGACAACAUCUCGAAAGGGAUGCUAAUACCGCAUACGUCCUACGGGAGAAAGCAGGGGAUCGUCGGACCUUGCGCUAAUAGAUGAGCCUAAGUCGGAUUAGCUAGUUGGUGGGGUAAAGGCCUACCAAGGCGACGAUCUGUAGCGGGUCUGAGAGGAUGAUCCGCCACACUGGGACUGAGACACGGCCCAGACUCCUACGGGAGGCAGCAGUGGGGAAUAUUGGACAAUGGGGGGAACCCUGAUCCAGCCAUGCCGCGUGUGUGAAGAAGGCCUUAUGGUUGUAAAGCACUUUAAGCGAGGAGGAGGCUACUUUAGUUAAUACCUAGAGAUAGUGGACGUUACUCGCAGAAUAAGCACCGGCUAACUCUGUGCCAGCAGCCGCCGUAA